RNAcentral lists this ribosomal RNA (460 nucleotides) under uncultured bacterium. Its description in RNAcentral is "partial 16S ribosomal RNA". It matches the Rfam family "Bacterial small subunit ribosomal RNA", at positions 338 to 795 of the family's 1533-position model. The record is from RNAcentral.
CCUACGGGUGGCAGCAGUGAGGAAUAUUGGUCAAUGGACGAGAGUCUGAACCAGCCAAGUAGCGUGAAGGAUGACUGCCCUAUGGGUUGUAAACUUCUUUUAUAUGGGAAUAAAACGUUCCACGUGUGGGAUUUUGUAUGUACCAUAUGAAUAAGGAUCGGCUAACUCCGUGCCAGCAGCCGCGGUAAUACGGAGGAUCCGAGCGUUAUCCGGAUUUAUUGGGUUUAAAGGGAGCGUAGGUGGAUUGUUAAGUCAGUUGUGAAAGUUUGCGGCUCAACCGUAAAAUUGCAGUUGAAACUGGCAGUCUUGAGUACAGUAGAGGUGGGUGGAAUUCGUGGUGUAGCGGUGAAAUGCUUAGAUAUCACGAAGAACUCCGAUUGCGAAGGCAGUUCACUGGACUGCAACUGACACUGAGGCUCGAAAGUGUGGGUAUCAAACAGGAUUAGAUACCCUAGUAGUC